UAGGGAAUCUUCGGCAAUGGGGGCAACCCUGACCGAGCAACACCGCGUGAGUGAAGAAGGUUUUCGGAUCGUAAAGCUCUGUUGUAAGAGAAGAACGUGUGUGAGAGUGGAAAGUUCACACAGUGACGGUAACUUACCAGAAAGGGACGGCUAACUACGUGCCAGCAGCCGCGGUAAUACGUAGGUCCCGAGCGUUGUCCGGAUUUAUUGGGCGUAAAGCGAGCGCAGGCGGUUUAAUAAGUCUGAAGUUAAAGGCAGUGGCUUAACCAUUGUUCGCUUUGGAAACUGUUAAACUUGAGUGCAGAAGGGGAGAGUGGAAUUCCAUGUGUAGCGGUGAAAUGCGUAGAUAUAUGGAGGAACACCGGUGGCGAAAGCGGCUCUCUGGUCUGUAACUGACGCUGAGGCUCGAAAGCGUGGGGAGCAAACAGG
RNAcentral lists this ribosomal RNA (429 nucleotides) under bacterium. RNAcentral describes it as "partial 16S ribosomal RNA". It matches the Rfam family "Bacterial small subunit ribosomal RNA", at positions 355 to 776 of the family's 1533-position model. The record is from RNAcentral.